Molecule: long non-coding RNA, 1262 nt
Organism: Homo sapiens (human)
Lineage: Eukaryota; Metazoa; Chordata; Mammalia; Primates; Hominidae
Gene: ST8SIA6-AS1
Product: ST8SIA6 antisense RNA 1
Source: Ensembl
GAGAAGGGAGGAGUUAUUCAGGCCUCCGCCAGCUUCUAGGCCCUGGGGAUGGUCUUUCACCUCCCUCUUUCUGAUCUCUUUUUCAUGCUCCUCCUUGCUCCAAAGAAAAGCCGGAUGGCAAAAGAGCCCAGAACCUAUUGGAACUGACAAAAUCAAGUCACGGCGCCUACAAAGAUGAGGGGCAGAUUCUGGCUGCCUUUUAAUUUCGUCCUUCACCUGAUAUCUGUGCCAGAGAAUGAUAAAAAUCAUAAUAAAGGAAAUAAUGGAAGAGGAGACUUAUGUUACUGGGGACAUCUAACAUAAUUAUUUUCCUGAUUCAGUGGCAUGGUUCAGUCUUCCAGGAGUUCUGCUACAGAGAAGAGAGUAACCCCCAUCCAUCAUGGCCAAAGCACCCAGUCAGGCUCCGCUCUGGAUCCAGCCCGACAAAUGCAACCCUUGAAUAGGGUUUGUGCAAGCAAACUGGAUGACGACCGAAGAAACCCUGUCGCUUCUGAGAAGACACCCAAUCCAAGAAUGCUGGAGUGCAGUGGCGCAAUCACAGCUCAAUGCAGCCUUGAACUCCUGGACUCAAGCAAUUCUUCUGCCUCAACCUGCCAAGUAGUUGGGACUACACAUGUGCCAUCACACUCAGCUUUUGUCUGUGAUCCAUGUGGAAACCAUUCUUCUGUGUAUAGUGUAAGGGAAACCACCUUUGCUUUGACAUAUGUGUGUAAACGGUAUUGUCUGUCGAACGUUGCCUCGUGAGUCAUAAAAAGAAACAUCCCAGCCUCUUUGUUAAGAGAAGUGCUGUCAAACUAUUUACAUUCUUACGAACAGACACAAGUCUACACAAAAUGACAAGCGCACAUUUCGGUGGCAACAGAUCAGCUGCUUCAGAAAUUUAUCUGGCUUGGGGAAGAGAUAUUAUUAACAAAAGCAAAUAUGGAACCACUCUGAGGAAUUACCAGCAGCUGAUGUAAAUUUUCACCUCAGAAACAGACCAGGUCCAGGGAGAAAAAAACUAGAGAGGUUUUGAUUCUCCUCCCACCGUCUGCCUUUCUUUUCCAAAGAAUAGAGAGCCUGCCCCAACUGGAAAAUCAGGUAGCUUCUCCCACACAGGAAGGGAUCUGCUGCCUGAGGCAGAAAGGGCUGCUUGGGUGCCUCUGUCCCCAGUGCCCCUUCAUUUCUGUCUUCCUACAUCCUCUUGAGAUUACAUGUUGAUUACAUUAUAUUCUAUUGUAUCGUACUACAUAAUACAGCAACACUGAAAGAAUGAAAGGAAA